Chrysoperla carnea is the source of this 177-nucleotide long non-coding RNA. RefSeq lists it as uncharacterized. The transcript has 3 exons. The record is from RefSeq and is a predicted model, not a curated record. Lineage: Eukaryota; Metazoa; Arthropoda; Insecta; Neuroptera; Chrysopidae.
GAAACAAUUUGAAUAAUUCUACUCGAUUGAAACAGUUUUAGAUGUAGGUGGGAUUUUGGAGGCAAAAUUGUCACCAACCAGUUGAAAAAAAACAUAACUAUUAUGUUUGUAUGAAAUUAUGUUAUGCAGUGACUAUGAUGAAAUUUCCCUAUAAAUAAGGGGUACUUUUAGCAGAUU